GGUAAAGCUGGGAAAAACCUGGGUCCUGGGGCUGCUCCUGAAUAUGCAGUUGAGUCUGAAGUUGAGGGACCUCCUAUUGGGGUCAAGCAGGCAUGGCAUCUGCCCAGUUCCUAGAUUGAUGGAAUUGCCACUAGAACCAGAAUCUUUCAAGAAGUAUGUGUUGUUGUUUUUUUGUUUUUGUUUUGUUUUGUUUUGUUUUGUUUUGUUUUUGGUACUAGGAUUGAACCCAGGGAGCUUCAUCCCUGAGCCACAUACCCAGACUUUUUUUAUUAUUUAGAGAUGGAGUUUCACCAAGUUGCCUAGAGCCUAAGUUGCUGAGAGGCUGACUUUGAACUUAAGAUCCUCCUGUGUCAACCUCCAUGGGAUUAGAGUCAUGCAUUACCACACCCAGCAAAAAGUAUAUGUUCUUACCAUGCAAAAAAACAUAAGAUCUGUAGCUUUUUUUUAAAAAAAAAUAUGUUACAUUUUUUGUACUGUGAUCAGGGAAUAUAAUCUGAAUGACAUCAAUUAUUUGGAAUUCAUGGGACCUCUUUUAUGACUUGAUAAGUGGC
RNAcentral lists this long non-coding RNA (551 nucleotides) under Marmota monax (woodchuck). The record is from RNAcentral. Lineage: Eukaryota; Metazoa; Chordata; Mammalia; Rodentia; Sciuridae.